Molecule: long non-coding RNA, 2126 nt
Organism: Neofelis nebulosa (Clouded leopard)
Lineage: Eukaryota; Metazoa; Chordata; Mammalia; Carnivora; Felidae
Exons: 4
Source: RefSeq, a predicted model, not a curated record
GGAGGUUGGCAUAUUAGACAACAUCUAUGAACAAGAUGACAUAGUACAUUCAAAUUGAGUGACUUUGAGUGGACAGAGUUUAAAGAACAUGAGAUCUAUUAACCACUUCUUGUCUUGAAAGGUCAGCAGGAGAAAAUAGUAGAUUGCAAGAAUGGUGGUGGGCAGUAUGGAGAGAGCAGGCUGAAGAGAACUAUGGCUUCAGGCCAUAGUAAGCCCUGAUGAUUCAACAGAUGGGGCUGAGAAAAUCAAAUAACAUGAAUGAGUUCUGCCACUGGUCAAGCACAGGAACUAACAUCAAAAGCGAGUCUGUUGAGCACUGAAGCACAUGUUCUUUCUUCUCUUGCUGGGCUUCCUCAUGGCUUGUUGGUCCAAGAACAGACAAUACCAAGAAGAUCCUAGAAGAGGCUAAGCCACAUAAGAUGCAUUUCCAAACUGCAAAGUCACUCUUUCCAGGAGAAGAGUGGGCAGUGGGCAGAGAGAAGCCAGGACCAGGAGACUAAUUCUGAUAGAGAAUGUGUUGGUGUUGCCUUUGGAAUAGGCCAAUGAAAGCAUGUGAAGAUUUUUGAGGCAUCAAUGAAAAGAGCUUGGAUCCCUAAUUUUGGGCAUGGACAGAAAGGGAACCCUACCACACACCUUUGUCUACUUGUUUUCCUCUAACACCACACAUUCAAAUAUAGAUGUCUAGUGUCCAGCCAGGACCUGAAUAGGGACCAUCAUUAUAAAUAUUCUUUAUUCUAACCCUAGCAUCUAGCCCAGUACCGAGAAAUGGUGAAUCAAUAGUAUAUGCUAAAUCAGUACAUUAAUUUAAACAUCAAAGACAUUAUGUGUUCACUUUGGUUGGACCCCUUGUUUCUUAGAUAUUCCUAGGGCAAUCCUGAAUGGCAAGAGCAGAGGCAAUAGAGGAAAGCAAGGGACCACAGGGUUUUGUCACUUCAACCAUCAAAACAAGAGAGAUGCAUGCCAUAGUGAGAAAAAGAGCUAUUCUAAAAUAGAACUGGCUCUCAUACAAGAGAGUGAGCUGUGGGCAGGGUAGAAGGGAGGUGGAGGUGGAGGCAGGGUGGCAUCAAGCAGAAGCUGCAUGACCAUGAGUUGCAUUGAGGACAGUGCAAUAGAGGGAUGCCUGCACAGAGUCAGAGCUGGACUGUAUCACCAUCCCCACCCCUGGCUGAAGCAGAAUUAACUGUGGAUGAGAUUUUCUAAAAAAAACUCAUUCCUAGGCCCUCUACUUAGAAAUUUUGAUUUUUUUUGAAGAAAAAAAAUAUUUUUUUCUUAUUAUUUUGAGAGAGAGAGAAAGUGUGAGUCAGGGAGGGACAAAGAGAGAGGGAGGGAGGGAGAAUCCCAAGCAGGCUCUGUGCUGUCAGCACUCUAUCUCACCAACCCUGAGAUCAUGACCUGAGCUGAAGUCCAACGCUUAACCAACUGAGCCACCCAGAUGCCCCAGAAACUUUGAUUUAAUACAUUUGAAUUGUAUCUAAACAUCUUUGAGUUUUAAUUAACAUACAAAAAGUGCACCCAUUAAAGUGCAAAGGUUGAUAAGUUUUAACAUACAUGCAUGCACAUACCUAUCAUAAUCAAGACAGAACAUUUACAUAACUCCCAAAAUUUCCCUUAGAUUCUUUGUGGUCAGUUGUCCCCUUCCCAGUUCCAGGCCUCCAGUGAUCUGCUUUUUGUCACUACAAAUGAGUUUGCCUGGUCUAGAUUUGAUAUGUGGCAUCUAUAGGAUGAACUGUUUUUUUUUUUUUUUAAUGUUUAUUUUUUCGAAAGAAAGAGGGAGAGACAGAGUGCAAGUGGGGCAGGGGCAGAGAGAGAGAGAGAGGGAGUCACAGAAUCUGAAGCAGGCUCCAGGCUCUGAGCUGUCAGCACAGAGCCUGACACAGGGCUCGAACCCACGAGAGAUCAUGCCCUGAGCCAAAGUCAGAUGCUUAACCGGCUGAGCUACCCAAGUGCCUCUAUAGUAUGAACUCUUACGUGUCUGGCGUCUUUCCUUCAGCACAAUGUUUUUGAGGUUCAUUCAUAUUUCCAGGUGUAUCAGUAGUUUGUUCUUUUUUUUGCUGUGUAAUAUUCUAUUACAUAGAUAUUCCACAAUUUAUUUAUGCAUUAAUUCAUUGAUAGGUAUAUGUGUUGUU